CCUACGGGCGGCAGCAGUCGAGAAUCAUUCACAAUGGGGGAAACCCUGAUGGUGCGACGCCGCGUGGGGGAAUGAAGGUCUUCGGAUUGUAAACCCCUGUCAUGUGGGAGCAAAUUAAAAAGAUAGUACCACAAGAGGAAGAGACGGCUAACUCUGUGCCAGCAGCCGCGGUAAUACAGAGGUCUCAAGCGUUGUUCGGAAUCACUGGGCGUAAAGCGUGCGUAGGCUGUUUCGUAAGUCGUGUGUGAAAGGCGCGGGCUCAACCCGCGGACGGCACAUGAUACUGCGGGACUAGAGGAAUGGAGGGGGAACCGGAAUUCUCGGUGUAGCAGUGAAAUGCGUAGAUAUCGAGAGGAACACUCGUGGCGAAGGCGGGUUCCUGGACAUUAACUGAUGCUGAGGCACGAAGGCCAGGGGAGCGAAAGGGAUUAGAUACCCCUGUAGUC
Molecule: ribosomal RNA, 446 nt
Filed under: uncultured bacterium
Lineage: Bacteria
Description: partial 16S ribosomal RNA
Rfam family: Bacterial small subunit ribosomal RNA
Source: RNAcentral